This is a non-coding RNA of Corylus avellana, 346 nucleotides long. The record is from RefSeq and is a predicted model, not a curated record. Lineage: Eukaryota; Viridiplantae; Streptophyta; Magnoliopsida; Fagales; Betulaceae.
UUUAUAUUAAUAUGUUUAUUUAUUUAUUUAAUGAUAACAGAUUAGUUUAGAAGAAGUCGAUACAAUGCUCAAUGAGAACUUUCCUGGGAUAUGUGCUACACUUUUAUAUUGGAUUUUAAGAAAUUUUAACGAAAAUCCCAAGAACUUCCGUAAAAAGUUGUCAAUAUAUCUUGAAGAAAAGCCUUAUGGACGCACUCCAAGAACAUGGUGCUUCAAGAAGAAGAUGAAGGAGAUGAAGGAGGCCGGUGAAGCGGUCGUUCUCACCGUUUAGGAGGUUAUUAGAUAUUUGAUUUUGUAGGCUUUAGUUUUCAUGGAUUAAUUAAUUUGAACUUGUUCAAUUGCGGUU